CUGGAUAGGUGGAUCAGUGGCGAACGGGUGAGUAACACGUGAGCAACCUGCCCUCCACUUCGGGAUAAGCCUUGGAAACGGGGUCUAAUACCGGAUAUGAGCACAUGGCGCAUGUCGUGUGUUGGAAAGUUUUUCGGUGGGGGAUGGGCUCGCGGCCUAUCAGCUUGUUGGUGGGGUGAUGGCCUACCAAGGCGUCGACGGGUAGCCGGCCUGAGAGGGCGACCGGCCACACUGGGACUGAGACACGGCCCAGACUCCUACGGGAGGCAGCAGUGGGGAAUAUUGCACAAUGGGCGAAAGCCUGAUGCAGCGACGCCGCGUGAGGGAUGACGGCCUUCGGGUUGUAAACCUCUUUCAGCAGGGAAGAAGGCCUUCGGGUGGACGGUACCUGCAGAAGAAGCGCCGGCUAACUACGUGCCAGCAGCCGCGGUAAUACGUAGGGCGCAAGCGUUGUCCGGAAUUAUUGGGCGUAAAGAGCUCGUAGGCGGUCUGUCGCGUCUGGUGUGAAAACCUCAGGCUCAACCUGGGGCGUGCAUCGGGUACGGGCAGACUAGAGUGCGGUAGGGGAGACUGGAAUUCCUGGUGUAGCGGUGGAAUGCGCAGAUAUCAGGAGGAACACCGAUGGCGAAGGCAGGUCUCUGGGCCGCAACUGACGCUGAGGAGCGAAAGCAUGGGGAGCGAACAGGAUUAGAUACCCUGGUAGUCCAUGCCGUAAACGUUGGGCACUAGGUGUGGGGCUCAUUCCACGAGUUCCGUGCCGCAGCUAACGCAUUAAGUGCCCCGCCUGGGGAGUACGGCCGCAAGGCCUAAACUCAAGGAAUUGACCGGGGCCCGCACAAGCGGCGGAGCAUGCGGAUUAAUUCGAUGCACGCGAAGAACCUUACCAAGGCUUGACAUGCACCGGACGCUGCCAGAGAUGGUGGUUCCGCAAGGUCGGUGCACAGGUGGUGCAUGGUUGUCGUCAGCUCGUGUCGUGAGAUGUUGGGUUAAGUCCCGCAACGAGCGCAAC
Molecule: ribosomal RNA, 1009 nt
Filed under: Isoptericola chiayiensis
Lineage: Bacteria; Bacillati; Actinomycetota; Actinomycetes; Micrococcales; Promicromonosporaceae
Description: bacterial SSU rRNA
Rfam family: Bacterial small subunit ribosomal RNA
Source: RNAcentral